Molecule: long non-coding RNA, 1020 nt
Filed under: Mus pahari (shrew mouse)
Lineage: Eukaryota; Metazoa; Chordata; Mammalia; Rodentia; Muridae
Description: lncRNA (MGP_PahariEiJ_G0005483.1)
Source: RNAcentral
GCAAGACAGAUGGGACUUUCAAAAUGAAAUGUACCUAUGACUGUUUGCUACUAUAUAUAUAAAAUGUCUCAUUUAGUCUCAUCUGUGAUUUUCCAAGAGGAAAAUGUUUCCAGGAGCCAUUUAUCUCAGUCCUGCAGGGUGAGUUCUACAGGCAUCAGAAGAAACCGCUGUACCAUUAAACUUAGUGCUGACGAAAACAGCCAUCCCUCCAGCAGAAUGGGGACCCCUCUUCAUUUCAUAAAUCUUCCCCAAAUACGCCAAAGCCAGGAACUGACUGUCUGUCACAUCAAUGGCCCAAAGUCUGGGUGCGUCAGUGCACUGUGUUCAAAGGGGAUCAAGAGUAUCUAUCUGGCAACAACUCUGGGAGCAGGGAGGCAAUUAUAACUGACAUCCAGAUGUCUGCCUGGGUGGAUGCUACUGCUCUGUAAGAAUGCCGAUGGCCUGGAGACAUUUACAACUGAGCAGUGAGUCCAUGACGUGACAGACGGAUCAACGAUGGCAUCAUAAACCAUCAGUGUGAAGCAAAAAAGUUGCCUUGACUGAUAAAGACUUCAGAAGUCAGGAGUUGCAAUGAAGUUCCUUCUCCCCACAUCCUCCAUCAGCCGCCCCGCCCCGCCCCACCUCCUCACAAACAAGCUUGUUAGUGGUUGAGGGACCAGCAGGAAAUGUUUUGACACCCAGUGCCAAACAUCAAUCCAUCACUGGAACCUUUAAUACGCUUAAGUGCUUAGAUUUUGGAGGCAAGCGGGAUUCCAACAGAAACCCCCUUGCUUGUGGAAUAUGGAGAUGUUAUCAUUUGACUCUCUACUACCUGUAUUGUUCUUCUUUCUUAAUCAGGGUAUCCUAAAAGAAGAUAUCAAGAUUCAAAUGUAAAGGAAAUUUAAUUAUGAUGAAAGCAGCACUCAACAUGAAGCUGUUUGUCUUUAUUUGUGAACGUUAGAAAAUAGAAAGUGUUCUUGCUAAAACAUAUGUGUAUAUAUGUGACUGUAUGGAAAUAUAUGUAAGUAAAUGUAUGCGAAU